Molecule: ribosomal RNA, 1337 nt
Filed under: Escherichia coli
Lineage: Bacteria; Pseudomonadati; Pseudomonadota; Gammaproteobacteria; Enterobacterales; Enterobacteriaceae
Description: partial 23S ribosomal RNA
Rfam family: Bacterial large subunit ribosomal RNA
Source: RNAcentral
AAAGCCUCUAAGCAUCAGGUAACAUCAAAUCGUACCCCAAACCGACACAGGUGGUCAGGUAGAGAAUACCAAGGCGCUUGAGAGAACUCGGGUGAAGGAACUAGGCAAAAUGGUGCCGUAACUUCGGGAGAAGGCACGCUGAUAUGUAGGUGAAGCGACUUGCUCGUGGAGCUGAAAUCAGUCGAAGAUACCAGCUGGCUGCAACUGUUUAUUAAAAACACAGCACUGUGCAAACACGAAAGUGGACGUAUACGGUGUGACGCCUGCCCGGUGCCGGAAGGUUAAUUGAUGGGGUUAGCGGCAACGCGAAGCUCUUGAUCGAAGCCCCGGUAAACGGCGGCCGUAACUAUAACGGUCCUAAGGUAGCGAAAUUCCUUGUCGGGUAAGUUCCGACCUGCACGAAUGGCGUAAUGAUGGCCAGGCUGUCUCCACCCGAGACUCAGUGAAAUUGAACUCGCUGUGAAGAUGCAGUGUACCCGCGGCAAGACGGAAAGACCCCGUGAACCUUUACUAUAGCUUGACACUGAACAUUGAGCCUUGAUGUGUAGGAUAGGUGGGAGGCUUUGAAGUGUGGACGCCAGUCUGCAUGGAGCCGACCUUGAAAUACCACCCUUUAAUGUUUGAUGUUCUAACGUUGGCCCGUAAUCCGGGUUGCGGACAGUGUCUGGUGGGUAGUUUGACUGGGGCGGUCUCCUCCUAAAGAGUAACGGAGGAGCACGAAGGUUGGCUAAUCCUGGUCGGACAUCAGGAGGUUAGUGCAAUGGCAUAAGCCAGCUUGACUGCGAGCGUGACGGCGCGAGCAGGUGCGAAAGCAGGUCAUAGUGAUCCGGUGGUUCUGAAUGGAAGGGCCAUCGCUCAACGGAUAAAAGGUACUCCGGGGAUAACAGGCUGAUACCGCCCAAGAGUUCAUAUCGACGGCGGUGUUUGGCACCUCGAUGUCGGCUCAUCACAUCCUGGGGCUGAAGUAGGUCCCAAGGGUAUGGCUGUUCGCCAUUUAAAGUGGUACGCGAGCUGGGUUUAGAACGUCGUGAGACAGUUCGGUCCCUAUCUGCCGUGGGCGCUGGAGAACUGAGGGGGGCUGCUCCUAGUACGAGAGGACCGGAGUGGACGCAUCACUGGUGUUCGGGUUGUCAUGCCAAUGGCACUGCCCGGUAGCUAAAUGCGGAAGAGAUAAGUGCUGAAAGCAUCUAAGCACGAAACUUGCCCCGAGAUGAGUUCUCCCUGAGACUUAGAGUCUCCUGAAGGAACGUUGAAGACGACGACGUUGAUAGGCCGGGUGUGUAAGCGCAGCGAUGCGUUGAGCUAACCGGUACUAAUGAACCGUGAGGCUUAACCUU